GGGGAUUUAGCUCAGUGGUAGAGCGCUUGCCUAGCACGUGCAAGGCCCUGGGUUCGGUCCCCAGCUCCG
Rattus norvegicus (Norway rat) is the source of this 69-nucleotide non-coding RNA. NCBI's taxonomy places the organism in Eukaryota, Metazoa, Chordata, Mammalia, Rodentia, Muridae. The record is from Rfam.